RNAcentral lists this ribosomal RNA (494 nucleotides) under uncultured bacterium. RNAcentral describes it as "partial 16S ribosomal RNA". It matches the Rfam family "Bacterial small subunit ribosomal RNA", at positions 28 to 507 of the family's 1533-position model. The record is from RNAcentral.
GACGAACGCUGGCGGCGCGCUUAACACAUGCAAGUCGAACGGAAAGGCCUGCUUUCCCUUGUGGAUUGCGGGUACUCGAGUGGCGAACGGGUGAGUAACACGUGAGUGAUCUGCCCCCAACUUGGGUAUAAGCCUGGGAAACUGGGUCUAAUUCCCGAUAGGACUGCAGGGUGGUGCCUGUGGUGGAAAACGAUUUUCUAGUGGUUGGGGAUGAGCUCGCGGCCUAUCAGCUUGUUGGUGGGGUAAUGGCCUACCAAGGCGGCGACGGGUAGCCGGCCUGGGAGGGUGGACGGCCACAUUGGGACUGGGAUCCGGCCCAGACUCCUACGGGAAGCAGCAGUGGUGAAUAUUGGACAAUGAGCGGAAGCCUGAUGCAGCGACGCAGCGUGGGGGAUGACGGCCUUCGGGUUGUAAACUCCUUUCGACCGCGAGGAAGCCACCUGGUUGGAAGGGUGGUGACGGUAGUGGUAGAAGAAGCACCGGCUAACUACGUG